CCGGUAAACGGCGGCCGUAACUAUAACGGUCCUAAGGUAGCGAAAUUCCUUGUCGGGUAAGUUCCGACCUGCACGAAUGGCGUAAUGAUGGCCAGGCUGUCUCCACCCGAGACUCAGUGAAAUUGAACUCGCUGUGAAGAUGCAGUGUACCCGCGGCAAGACGGAAAGACCCCGUGAACCUUUACUAUAGCUUGACACUGAACAUUGAGCCUUGAUGUGUAGGAUAGGUGGGAGGCUUAGAAGUGUGGACGCCAGUCUGCAUGGAGCCGACCUUGAAAUACCACCCUUUAAUGU
Molecule: ribosomal RNA, 294 nt
Filed under: Escherichia coli
Lineage: Bacteria; Pseudomonadati; Pseudomonadota; Gammaproteobacteria; Enterobacterales; Enterobacteriaceae
Description: partial 23S ribosomal RNA
Rfam family: Bacterial large subunit ribosomal RNA
Source: RNAcentral